AAGCAAACGAACGACUACUCCCUCUCUCUCUCUCUGUUCAUCAUCUCUUCAUGACAGCAACAUGCACUCCCCUCUGCCAUCUCUCAAUCUCUCUUGAAGACAACAAACCCAAGGCCAAGACAACAUCAAAGGAGAAGACCAAGACUAUUAUUGUUGAUUGAUGGAUUCAAAUUUUUUUAUUUUGGUUGAACUUUUUUUAAUCUAUUCACUAUCUAGUUAGUCUAAUUUGUAUCAUGGAAGAGUCUAUUUAUCUUUUAAUGUUAUGGAUGAUUGUAAUAACUUUAGGACUUAUGUUUGGAUGAUUGUAAUAUUUUGGUUGGUUAGAUUUUAACUACUAAGACUUCAUUUUGUUGUUUUUAUGUUUUAAUUCGAUCAUUUUUUUUUCAAAA
Molecule: long non-coding RNA, 389 nt
Organism: Humulus lupulus (European hop)
Lineage: Eukaryota; Viridiplantae; Streptophyta; Magnoliopsida; Rosales; Cannabaceae
Exons: 2
Source: RefSeq, a predicted model, not a curated record